CAUAGAAACAAGUAAGGCACAGAUUUUCACCAGCUGACUGUGUAUGUUUUGCAGGGCUGACGCAAGGUGGAACAGGCCUUUAUAUAUUACAAGCUUUGCUAACGUUUUAUAAUGAAACCUUGGUCUGAGUUCUUGGCUGAGCGGCGUGCCCAGGCUUGAGGAGGAAUCACAACGCGAUCCCUCGAGAAGCCAAAGCAUUCUUCUCAUCGCUCUCCACUGACUAGGUGAUCACUGACAUGCUAAAUAGUUUGGCUGGAAACCAUGGCUGCUCUCUCCUCCUUUUGAUCACAUACAGCUGGACAAGGAGGGGAACCCAGGACUCAAAAGCCCUAAACAACAGGGAAGAACAUGCUUGUUCAGGUCUCAUCCCGG
This 372-nucleotide long non-coding RNA is filed under the name Struthio camelus australis. RNAcentral's name for it is "lncRNA (ENSSCUG00000008379.1)". Lineage: Eukaryota; Metazoa; Chordata; Aves; Struthioniformes; Struthionidae. The record is from RNAcentral.